GGAAGUCUGGUGCCAGCAGCCGCGGUAAUUCCAGCUCCAAUAGCGUAUAUUAAAGUUGUUGCAGUUAAAAAGCUCGUAGUUGAAUUUCGGGAUCAAUAUUUCGGUCAUGCCGUUGGUAUGCACUGUUAUCAUUGAUUUCUCACCUUCUAAAGAACCAUAAUGCCAUUAAUUUGGUGUUACGGGGAAUUAGGACUGUUACCUUGAAAAAAUUAGAGUGCUUAAAGCAGGCUCACGCUUGAAUACAUUAGCAUGGAAUAAUGAAAUAGGACGUUUGACCCUAUUUUGUUGGUUUCUAGGAUCGACGUAAUGAUUAAUAGGGAUAGUUGGGGGCAUUAGUAUUCAAUUGUCAGAGGUGAAAUUCUUGGAUUUAUUGAAGACUAACUACUGCGAAAGCAUUUGCCAAGGAUGUUUUCAUUAAUCAAGAACGAAAGUUAGGGGAUCGAAGACGAUCAGAUACCGUCGUAGUCUUAACCAUAAACUAUGCCGACUAGGGAUCGGAUGAUGUUAAUUUUUUAAUGACUCAUUCGGCGCCUUACGGGAAAC
RNAcentral lists this ribosomal RNA (543 nucleotides) under uncultured Glomeromycotina. RNAcentral's name for it is "SSU rRNA". It matches the Rfam family "Eukaryotic small subunit ribosomal RNA", at positions 555 to 1098 of the family's 1831-position model. Lineage: Eukaryota; Fungi; Glomeromycota. The record is from RNAcentral.